Molecule: ribosomal RNA, 416 nt
Filed under: uncultured bacterium
Lineage: Bacteria
Description: bacterial SSU rRNA
Rfam family: Bacterial small subunit ribosomal RNA
Source: RNAcentral
AUAUUGGUCAAUGGCCGGAAGGCUGAACCAGCCAAGCCGCGUGAGGGAAGACGGCCCUACGGGUUGUAAACCUCUUUAGCCGGGGAACAAGGCGCGGGACGCGUCCCGCCGUGAGCGUACCCGGAGAAUAAGCAUCGGCUAACUCCUUGCCAGCAGCCGCGGUAAUACGGAGGAUGCGAGCGUUAUCCGGAUUUAUUGGGUUUAAAGGGUGCGUAGGCGGUCCGGAAAGUCAGCGGUAAAAGCCCGGGGCUCAACCCCGGCGAGCCGUUGAAACUGUCGGACUAGAGACGGCGAGAAGUACGCGGAAUGCGCGGUGUAGCGGUGAAAUGCAUAGAUAUCGCGCAGAACUCCGAUUGCGAAGGCAGCGUACCGGCGCCGGCCUGACGCUGAGGCACGAAAGCGUGGGUAUCGAACAG